Homarus americanus (American lobster) is the source of this 306-nucleotide long non-coding RNA. RefSeq lists it as uncharacterized. The transcript has 2 exons. The record is from RefSeq and is a predicted model, not a curated record. NCBI's taxonomy places the organism in Eukaryota, Metazoa, Arthropoda, Malacostraca, Decapoda, Nephropidae.
UCCUUAUUGGAUAUUCCUUGACAACAACAACAACACGCUUCACCAUCUUGUAUACUUCCGUCAAUUUUCUCGUAAAACAGUUUAUUUCUCCUCCUCCUGGACAUUACAGCAAGUGUUUGAUACUGUGAUGUCACAUCUCAAGACCAAGUGUAAUUAAGUAGAAGUUCACAAUGUCAAGCAGAGAUAAAAAGUUCUCCUGUGAGGAAUGUGGCAAACAGUUUUGCUUAAAGUCUACUCUUCAGACACAUUUACUUGUGCACAAUGGUAUGAAGGAGUUUGAAUGUGAGGAAUGUGGGAAACAUUUGU